GAGCCGCAGCACAGGUUCUAUUCAGCGGCGCUGGCUGGGGUUGAGAUGGAAGUUAGUUUCUAUGUAGCAGAAAUAGGAAACAAAUGAAGCAAAACUGCCCAAAGAGGAGAAAUGCCCAGAGGAUGGGUCUCACUCUCACGCGCGCUGACACACACACACACACACACACACACACACGCGCAGAGAGCACUCUCACGCUGGGCAAACUCAGGAUCGCGCUACUGCCCGAGUUGAAUGAUAGUGUUUGGUUUCUGUCUCUUGCCAUGUGCAUGUGUAUAAAUGCUGCGGAUUGGCAUCUGUUGUUUCCUCAAGCCCUUCUACCUCCUGGCUCCUCACAUUCCUUGUGAGAAAUGCAACCGCCUUGGGCUGCAAGGUGUGAGAGCUUAAACCAAAACACCCAGAAAUCAGCAGACAACCGAGGAAGAAGAAAAGAAGCCUGAACCGCUUUGGAAUAACAGACUAUAAAAAGAUUUCCUUCGUAAAUGCACGAUGAAAAUGGAAGGUUAUUAUGAUUUGCCCUAGUCCUGAUAAUUAUCAGAGUAACGCAUUUAUUGACAUGGAUUAUCCUUCAAAUAUUGAAAAUAUUUGCAUUUUUAAAGACAUGAAUUCCUUUCUAACUAUUAUCAGUAAAGUUACCUGCUGGUAGGGUUUGAAAAGAUAGGCAUUUUGUAUGCUUUAUGGCAACUGUAUUUAUUGCUGUGGCCUAUGCUCUCUGUUUUACCCAAACUUUUAAAAAAGUAUAAUGCUCAGAGUGUGGUAUUUUAUCAGGAUGCUCUUCAAAUAAGCAGAUUUGGGGAACCAAAGGGUGUAUUUGGAAUUUUCUAAUUUUGAAGUGCCUAUGCUAAUCUCAUUCUUUCUGAUAACAUGUUUUUCUUUAAGAGGGCAAAUAAACCAAAUUAUGAUAUAGCAUUUAAAAUUUGUCUGAGUAAAGUUUUCCAAAAGUAUAUUGUGGGUGUUACGUAAAUGUAAAAGCUAAUAUGAUUAGCUCAUGUAUGUAGGCUUUUCAUUUAGAAGUCAUUAAAUAAAGGUUUUUCUUAAGUGUG
Long non-coding RNA from Echinops telfairi (small Madagascar hedgehog), 1043 nucleotides. RefSeq lists it as uncharacterized. The record is from RefSeq and is a predicted model, not a curated record. The transcript has 2 exons. Lineage: Eukaryota; Metazoa; Chordata; Mammalia; Afrosoricida; Tenrecidae.